This 1421-nucleotide ribosomal RNA is filed under the name Candidatus Karelsulcia muelleri. RNAcentral describes it as "bacterial SSU rRNA". It matches the Rfam family "Bacterial small subunit ribosomal RNA". The record is from RNAcentral. Lineage: Bacteria; Pseudomonadati; Bacteroidota; Flavobacteriia; Flavobacteriales.
CAUGGCAAGUCGAGGGGCAUCAAAAAAAAUAUAAGAUAAGUUUACUUAACUUAUGUUUUUUGUUUGGCAACCGGCGUACGGGUGAGUAAUACAUACGUAACUUUCCUUAUGCUGAAGGAUAGCCCGAGGAAACUUGGAUUAAUACUUCAUAAUACCAUUUUUUAUUAAGAAAUUUGGUUAAAGUUAUUAUGGCAUAAGAUAGGCGUUUGUCCGAUUAGUUAGUUGGGAAGGUAAUGGCUUACCAAGACAAUGAUCGGUAGGGGGCCUGAGAGGGCGUCCCCCCACAUUGGUACUGAGACACGGACCAAACUUCUACGGAAGGCAGCAGUGAGGAAUAUUGGUCAAUGGAGGCAACUCUGAACCAGCCACUCCGCGUGUAGGAAGAAGGCAAUUUAGGUUGUAAACUACUUUUGUAGAUGAAUAAAAAAUUCUAUUUUUAGAAAAAUUGAAGGUAAUAUACGAAUAAGUAUCGGCCAACUCUGUGCCAGCAGCCGCGGUAAAACAGAGGAUACAAGCGUUAUCCGGAUUUAUUGGGUUUAAAGGGUGCGGUAGGGUUGUUUUUUAAGUCAGUAGUGAAAUCUUAAAGCUUAACUUUAAAAGUGCUAUUGAGACUGAUAAACUAGAGUGAGGUUGGAGUAACUGGAAUGUGUGGUGGAGCGGUGAAAUGCAUAGAGAUCACACAGAACACCGAUAGCGCAAGCAGGUUACUAAACCUAGACUGACACUGAGGCACGAAAGCAUGGGUAGCAAACAGGAUUAGAUACCCUGGUAGUCCAUGCCGUAAACGAUGAUCACUAACUAUUGGAGAAUAAUUCAGUGGUCAAGCGAAAGUGAUAAGUGAUCCACCUGAGGAGUACGACCGCAAGGUUGAAACUCAAAGGAAUUGACGGGGGUCCGCACAAUCGGUGGAGCAUGUGGUUUAAUUCGAUGAUACGCGAGGAACCUUACCAAAACUUAAAUGUAUUACGAAUAAAUUGGAAACAAUUUAGUCAUUAGACGGAGUACAAGGUGCUGCAUGGUUGUCGUCAGCUCGUGCCGUGAGGUGUGAGGUUAAGUCUUUGAACGAGCGCAACCCUUAUUAUUAGUUACCAUCAAGUAAUGUUGGGGACUCUAAUAAGACUGCCGGCGUAAGCCGAGAGGAAGGCGGGGACGACGUCAAAUCAUCACGGCCCUUAUGUUUUGGGCCACACACGUGUUACAAUGGUCGGUACAAAAGGCAGCAACUGGGUGACCAGAAGCAAAUCUUUAAAGCCGAUCUAAGUUCGGAUUGGAGUCUGCAACUCGACUCUAUGAAGCUGGAAUCGCUAGUAAUCGUGCAUCAGCCAUGGCGCGGUGAAUAUGUACCCGGGCCUUGUACACACCGCCCGUCAAGCCAUGGAAGUUGGAAGUACCUAAAAUCGGUGACCUUUAUAGAAGGAAAA